This 506-nucleotide ribosomal RNA is filed under the name uncultured bacterium. Its description in RNAcentral is "bacterial SSU rRNA". It matches the Rfam family "Bacterial small subunit ribosomal RNA", at positions 24 to 518 of the family's 1533-position model. The record is from RNAcentral.
UCAGGAUGAACGCUAGCUACAGGCUUAACACAUGCAAGUCGAGGGGCGAGCAUUGGGAUAGCUUGCUAUUCAGAUGGCGACCGGCGCACGGGUGAGUAACGCGUAUCCAAACCUUCCUGCCAGUAGGGAACAGCCCGGCGAAAGUCGGAUUAAUGCCCUAUGUUCUUCAAUGCGGACAUCUAAGUUGAAGGAAAGAUUCAUCGCUGGCAGAUGGGGAUGCGUCCGAUUAGCUUGCCGGCGGGUAACGGCCCACCGGGGCGACGAUCGGUAGGGGUUCUGAGAGGAAGGUCCCCCACACUGGUACUGAGACACGGACCAGACUCCUACGGGAGGCAGCAGUGAGGAAUAUUGGUCAAUGGGCGUAAGCCUGAACCAGCCAAGUAGCGUGCAGGAAUGACGGCCCUACGGGUUGUAAACUGCUUUUAUGCGGGGAUAAAGUGCGGCACGUGUGCCGCUUUGCAGGUACCGCAUGAAUAAGGACCGGCUAAUUCCGUGCCAGCAGCAGC